GAGGGUGCAAGCGUUAUUCGGAAUCACUGGGCGUAAAGGACGCGUAGGCGGGACAGUAAGUCAGAUGUGAAAUCCUAUGGCUCAACCAUAGAACUGCAUUUGAAACUGCUGACCUAGAGUAUGGAAGGGGCAGAUGGAAUUAGUGGUGUAGGGGUAAAAUCCGUAGAUAUCACUAGGAAUACCGAAAGCGAAAGCGAUCUGCUGGGACAUUACUGACGCUAAGGCGUGAAAGCGUGGGGAGCAAGCGGGAUUAGAUACCCCGGUAGUCCACGCCCUGAACGAUGAAUGCUAGUCGUCGUGGAGCUCGUCUCUGCGGUGAUGCAGUUAACACAUUAAGCAUUCCGCCUGGGGAGUACGGUCGCAAGAUUAAAACUCAAAGGAAUAGACGGGGACCCGCACAAGUGGUGGAGCAUGUGGUUUAAUUCGAAGAUACGCGAAGAACCUUACCAAGCCUUGACAUUGAUAGAACGGACCAGAGAUGGACCGGUGCCUGCUUGCAGGAGCUAGAAAACAGGUGCUGCACGGCUGUCGUCAGCUCGUGUCGUGAGAUGUUGGGUUAAGUCCCGCAACGAGCGCAACCCUCGUCGUUAGUUGCUAACAGGUUAAGCUGAGCACUCUAGCGAGACUGCCUUCGCAAGGAGGAGGAAGGUGAGGACGACGUCAAGUCAUCAUGGCCCUUAUGGCUUGGGCUACACACGUGCUACAAUGGGGUGUACAGAGUGUUGCGAUACCGCGAGGUGGAGCUAAUCACUUAAAGCAUCUCUCAGUUCGGAUAGAAGUCUGCAACUCGACUUCUUGAAGCUGGAAUCACUAGUAAUCGUAGAUCAGCAAUGCUACGGUGAAUACGUUCCCGGGUCUUGCACACACCGCCCGUC
Molecule: ribosomal RNA, 875 nt
Filed under: uncultured bacterium
Lineage: Bacteria
Description: bacterial SSU rRNA
Rfam family: Bacterial small subunit ribosomal RNA
Source: RNAcentral